RNAcentral lists this long non-coding RNA (627 nucleotides) under Phoenix dactylifera (date palm). Its description in RNAcentral is "long non-coding RNA (PDAC_LNC001635)". The record is from RNAcentral. Lineage: Eukaryota; Viridiplantae; Streptophyta; Magnoliopsida; Arecales; Arecaceae.
GAGGUGUGAGAGGCACGCUAAGAGAUCUCUUUAAAACUUUUAAAACUCAUUCAAAUUUCAAUAGUAACAGUCACUAGUACAUCAUCCACCGGCAGCAGACCGGCCGCCUCCACUGAAAUCUAAAUUGCACUUCCUGAAUUCCUAGUGUCUUCCAACCAUCUGCGUCAAAACAUCUAGCCGUGAUCAAAUACAUAUCUACAGGAGAAGUCCAAGAUAAUAUCCCUAGAAUACCUCAAAAUGUAUCACACGCUGGCCUCUAGGUUUUCGUAGAAACAGCCCAAAAUGUAGUGAAUGAUACAAAUGUUUUCUUUUGUGGGUGUGUGCCCCUGUAUUUCUGUGAGACUGGGAUAUGAUAGAUUUGUCUAGCUCAAAUGUAAUGAGAAGGAGGCAAACAAUUUAUUCAUGGACAGGUUGGCGUUAAGAAGAAGAAGAAAAGGAACCUAUCUUCCAGUUGGAACAAUUCAAAUCAAGUAGUAUAGCUUUCAUCGCCAAGAAUGGCAUAUCUUUUUGAGGGAAAGAAGACUAAUGAUGGCAAUACAAAAAAGCAAUUUUGUUGAUGUGGAGGCAGCAUGAGGUAGAACUUGUGUCAUAAAUUCUUCUUUCAAAGAGAGGAACUUCCAUGAAAGA